CCUACGGGAGGCAGCAGUGGGGAAUAUUGGGCAAUGGACGCAAGUCUGACCCAGCAACGCCGCGUGAAGGAAGAAGGCUUUCGGGUUGUAACCUUCUUUUAAGGGGGAAGAGCAGAAGACGGUACCCCUUGAAUAAGCCACGGCUAACUACGUGCCAGCAGCCGCGGUAAUACGUAGGUUGCAAGCGUUGUCCGGAUUUACUGGGUGGAAAGGGCGUGCAGCCGGAGAGACAAGUCAGAUGUGAAAUCCACGGGCUCAAACCGUGAACUGCAUUUGAAACUGUUUCCCUUGAGUGUCGGAGAGGUAAGCGGAAUUCCGAGUGUAGCGGUGAAAUGCGUAGAUAUUAGGAAGAACACCAGUGGCGAAGGCGGAUUACUGGACGAUAACUGACGGUGAGGCGCGAAAGCGUGGGGAGCAAACAGGAUUAGAUACCCUAGUAGUC
This 442-nucleotide ribosomal RNA is filed under the name uncultured bacterium. RNAcentral's name for it is "partial 16S ribosomal RNA". It matches the Rfam family "Bacterial small subunit ribosomal RNA", at positions 338 to 795 of the family's 1533-position model. The record is from RNAcentral.